GCCCUGUUAGCUCAGUUGGUAGAGCAUUGGACUUUUAAUCCAAUGGACGUGGGUUCAAUUCCCGCAAAGGGCG
Molecule: transfer RNA, 73 nt
Filed under: Hofstenia miamia
Lineage: Eukaryota; Metazoa; Xenacoelomorpha; Acoela; Hofsteniidae
Description: tRNA-Lys for anticodon UUU
Rfam family: tRNA
About the family: Transfer RNA (tRNA) molecules are approximately 80 nucleotides in length. Their secondary structure includes four short double-helical elements and three loops (D, anti-codon, and T loops). Further hydrogen bonds mediate the characteristic L-shaped molecular structure. tRNAs have two regions of fundamental functional importance: the anti-codon, which is responsible for specific mRNA codon recognition, and the 3' end, to which the tRNAs corresponding amino acid is attached (by aminoacyl-tRNA synthetases). tRNAs cope with the degeneracy of the genetic code in two manners: having more than one tRNA (with a specific anti-codon) for a particular amino acid; and 'wobble' base-pairing, i.e. permitting non-standard base-pairing at the 3rd anti-codon position.
Source: RNAcentral